This 69-nucleotide transfer RNA is filed under the name Parioglossus dotui. RNAcentral describes it as "tRNA-Glu". It matches the Rfam family "tRNA". From Rfam's summary of the family: Transfer RNA (tRNA) molecules are approximately 80 nucleotides in length. Lineage: Eukaryota; Metazoa; Chordata; Actinopteri; Gobiiformes; Gobiidae. The record is from RNAcentral.
GUUUCUGUAGUUGAACUACAACGGUGGUUUUUCAAGUCACUAGUCCUGGUUAAAACCCUGGCAGGAACU